GACGAACGCUGGCGGCGUGCUUAACACAUGCAAGUCGAACGGAAAGGCCCUGCUUUUGUGGGGUGCUCGAGUGGCGAACGGGUGAGUAACACGUGAGUAACCUGCCCUUGACUUUGGGAUAACUUCAGGAAACUGGGGCUAAUACCGGAUAGGAGCUCCUGCUGCAUGGUGGGGGUUGGAAAGUUUCGGCGGUUGGGGAUGGACUCGCGGCUUAUCAGCUUGUUGGUGGGGUAGUGGCUUACCAAGGCGUUGACGGGUAGCCGGCCUGAGAGGGUGACCGGCCAAAUUGGGACUGAGAUACGGCCCAGACUCCUACGGGAGGCAGCAGGGGGGAAUAUUGCACAAUGGGCGGAAGCCUGAUGCAGCGACGCCGCGUGCGGGAUGACGGCCUUCGGGUUGUAAACCGCUUUCGGCUGGGACGAAGCGGUAGUGACGGUAAUGGGUGAAGAAGCACCGGCUAACUACGUG
Molecule: ribosomal RNA, 468 nt
Filed under: uncultured bacterium
Lineage: Bacteria
Description: partial 16S ribosomal RNA
Rfam family: Bacterial small subunit ribosomal RNA
Source: RNAcentral